Molecule: transfer RNA, 75 nt
Filed under: Acholeplasma sp.
Lineage: Bacteria; Bacillati; Mycoplasmatota; Mollicutes; Acholeplasmatales; Acholeplasmataceae
Also listed under: 1 other name
Description: tRNA-Val
Rfam family: tRNA
About the family: Transfer RNA (tRNA) molecules are approximately 80 nucleotides in length. Their secondary structure includes four short double-helical elements and three loops (D, anti-codon, and T loops).
Source: RNAcentral
GGAGGUAUAGCUCAGAGGGAGAGCACUUGCUUGACGUGCAAGGGGUCAGGGGUUCAAAUCCCUUUACCUCCACCA